This 570-nucleotide ribosomal RNA is filed under the name Triticum aestivum (bread wheat). RNAcentral describes it as "partial small subunit ribosomal RNA". Lineage: Eukaryota; Viridiplantae; Streptophyta; Magnoliopsida; Poales; Poaceae. The record is from RNAcentral.
AUGGUGGCCUUAUCAUCAGGGAUAUGGCCACCAGACAAACCAUCCACGAUGUUCGCGUGCGGGGCAGGCCACGUCGACCCCAGCCGCGCCCUUGACCCAGGCCUCGUGUACAACGCAUGCAACGACAACUAUGUCACCUUCGUGUGCGCGCUCGGCUACACCUCCGAGCAGAUGGCUGUCUUCACGAGAGACGGCUCGUCGACCAACUGCUCGGGUUCCUUCUAUGUGGGAGACCACAACUACCCAUCCUUCAUGGCGGUGUUCACCUCGCGCAACGAGACCAUCACGCAACACCGCAUGGUGCGCAACGUCGGCAACAACGUGGAUGUGACGUAUCGAGCCACGGUCACGAGCCCCACCGGCAUGCGCGUGGACGUGAAGCCGCGGAAGCUACAGUUCAGCAUGACGCACAACACACAGGAGUACCAGGUCACCUUCGCUAUCCGGGCCAAGGGUAGCAUCAAGGAGUACACGUUUGGGUCGAUCGCGUGGAGCGACGGCAAGCACACUGUGACGAGCCCCAUCGCCAUCACCUGGCGGCCGCCAGUGAGCGAAGUCGCAGCGGUGUGA